GGUGGAAAGAGUUGGGCAGUGAGGCCUGUAACCCCCACACUUGUCACUCAGGGUCACCAUUUCCCUAUAUGUACAGAGCUACUGUUUACGGCAUAGUCUAUGAUUCAUGCCAGUGCCACCCGCCUAGUCAGACCAGGUCUGUGGCGCAAGUUGCUGCCCAGCAUGUGAGAAUUGUUGUAUCCAGAGAUCUUGUUGAAUCCAUGCUGUGGAGAAUUCAAGCGGCAAAGCGGUUCUGGAGGCAAAAGUGGCCGGGUAUGUGCGACUUGUGGCUGCAGUGUGAUAAGAAGCAGCUGACUGGUACCGUGCAAUUCUGAGGAGAGCCAUGAGUCUUCACUGCCCCAGGCAGGCAGCAUUUCAGGUUGGAUGGGAGAGCUCAAUAGACCAUGCCUGUAUAGCCAACUGUGUUUUAUUGAUUUAACUGAAAAUAAACUGCUAUGUGUCCGUG
Long non-coding RNA from Anguilla rostrata (American eel), 445 nucleotides. RefSeq lists it as uncharacterized. The transcript has 5 exons. Lineage: Eukaryota; Metazoa; Chordata; Actinopteri; Anguilliformes; Anguillidae. The record is from RefSeq and is a predicted model, not a curated record.